GUAAAACCGUCUAUAUGCACUGAAAUGUUCCGCACAUCUGAUCUCAAUUGCAAUCAACAUUGGCCAGCGAUUUACCGCUCACUAUCGUAGAUGUCGAGGUUAUCUUUUAGUCUUGAAUGCAGCCAACAUUUUUCAAGACUAUUUCGCCUUCUGAGAUCUCGGUUUGCGCUGAUGAUGAGUCAUAGCUCAGUCUGGAGCCUCUGCAUCGCAGUCGGAAGCAAGGAAUACAGAGCAGCUCACACACUCACACACACCCUCUCUCUCCUCUCUCUCUCUCUGUCUCUGUUUUGGUCAUUAAGGGAGGGUGUGACAGGGAUUCCUCAGAGGAGACGGUACAACAAGUGACUUGAGUGUGUUUUUAUGGGGGGAGGGGUGUGUGCCUGGUUGCAGUUGGCAUAGGGAAAGCUCCAAGCUCAAUGAGCCAUUACUGUCCAAUUUGCAUACACACAGUGUCAUGCAGUGCUGGGACGCAACUGUGAUAUUGUUCAUUUUUGUCUGUAUCAAAUCUUUAUUUGUCACAUGCGCUGAAUACAACAAGUGUAGACUUUACCAUGAAAUGCUUACUUACGAGCCCUUUCCCAACAAUGCAGUUUAAAAUAAAGAAAAUUAACAAAUAGAUGAAAUUAAAAUCGUAUCACAAUAAAAUAACAACGAGUCUAUAAACAGGCUAUAUACAAGGAGUUCCGGUACCGAGUCAGAGGUAGUUGAGGUGAUUCAUUGAGGCAAUGUAUAUGUAGGUUUGCUUAGAUGAUUGAUUGAUUGAAGUACUAUGUACAUGUAGGUUUGCUUAGGUGAUUGAUUGAUUGAAGUACUAUGUACAUGUAGGUAGGGGGGUGAAAAGCAGAAAGUCCGGCUAGCUUGUUCAGCAUUUUAUUGCUUUGGGGUGAUGCUGUUCAGGAUAAUUUUGGCCUCACACUUGGCACUACGGUACUGCUUGUCAUGCAGUAGCAGAGAGAACAGACUGCGACUUGGGUGGGUGGAGCCUUCGUAAAACAAACAAAUGCUUACAAAUCUUGGCAAAUAUUUUCAGCCUCUUGAGGUGAAAGAGGCGUCGUCGUGACCUCUUCACGACUGUGUUGGUAUGUUUGGA
RNAcentral lists this long non-coding RNA (1090 nucleotides) under Salmo salar (Atlantic salmon). RNAcentral's name for it is "lncRNA (ENSSSAG00000109139.1)". Lineage: Eukaryota; Metazoa; Chordata; Actinopteri; Salmoniformes; Salmonidae. The record is from RNAcentral.